Molecule: long non-coding RNA, 2875 nt
Filed under: Ixodes scapularis (black-legged tick)
Lineage: Eukaryota; Metazoa; Arthropoda; Arachnida; Ixodida; Ixodidae
Description: uncharacterized LOC121048458
Source: RNAcentral
UUACAAAGUAUCUCCUCAUGAUCUUUUAGCUUGUUCUCAACUGGUGUCAGCUGCUUGUGCAAGCUGAUGAAGCAUUUGGAGAAGAUAACUAUUUCGGUAGUUGGGACGAUGACAUGGCAAGCCCAGUUGAAAAUGUAACGAGAUACAUUAUUCCCUUGAAUGUUGUGAGACCAGGAAUAUAUUUUCACGUGUAUUUCGAUGCUGAAAUUCAAGUACUAACCCACAAUCUGGUGUCCUGUAUAUUGUUACAAAGGGAAUGGAAGACCUACAUAUCAUAGGUAAACUGGGCUUGUGUUGCUGUACCGGUUCCUUGACCACCGUUAUGGUUCUCUCUAAGAGUAGCCUGAGGCAGUUGUGUUCAGUCCCCAGAAUAUCAAGUAGAGUCACUGCCUGCACUUUGAUGGUCUCACACAGUCCAUUCAUGAGCGUGCAUUGUUCUUACCAUGUGAGACAACGCCAUCAAUUUUCUGGCAAUGAAAUGAACUCACUAGUAUUCCUCUUGCCAUUGCAGAUUUUUCAAGUGUAACUAGCCCCCCAUAAUGAGCUGAAGUAGGGUGGUAGAUUGGGAUAGUUGGUGAGAGCGAAACUAAUCAUGAUGGAAAACAACAUCUCUUACAAAACAAAGUGAAAAAAAAAAAUCUUUAUUCAUAAAUUGGAGUUUAGCACUGCCUCAUUGUAAGGCUCUAUCCCUCUGAUUGCCAGCUGCCUGGUUGGCAUGGGUGUAUGUGUUAAUGUAAUAAGACUAAAAUGCUUCCUUUUCAUAAAAUAAACUACACUUGAAGGUCAUCCAUUGUUUUGUUGUGUUAGUGCCUUUACUUCAUCCUUGUGUCUGAGGCUGCUUUCCAGUAUUUUUAUUCCAUAAUAAUCAUUUUUAACUGACUCUGUGUGCCUUCCUGGCCACAGACAAGCCACCCCCAACAACCAAUACCUUAACAGUGCAUAUGUACUGUAUUGUCGGAAGGGGAAUUUGGACAGGACAUUUUCACCUGUGCCAAUGCCAGCGAGCACCUUUCCCUGCAAUACAGCGGUGUCUUUCGGUGAAGCAAACCUAUGCUGAUCUGCGAGAGUAUGAGAGUGUGCUUCAUUGCGAAGUCAUUAAGCUCUCAAUUUAACUUAAAGAAAAAAUGGGAAUAUAUAUACUCAAUUGAUCAAGCUAUCUACGUUGCGAAAAUAAUUUUAAAUAUGCUAAACGCAAUUUUGUUUCGAAAUCGGGGAACCAAAGCACGGUAACGAGAGUAUGUUUACAAACAUUCCGGCGCCAUGUUGUAACGGUUCUCCGUCGAUUUUUUCCUUGCGUUCUAAGUUUUGAUGACGCCUUUCCCCGCUGUUAUCUUCGUCGUCGCACCUACAGCCCUCAGAGAUGGAAUAUAGCUUUGUUCGGAGGGGCGAAAAUGCCGUAAAAUCAACCUACCUCAUGCAAAUCAGUUACGACGACGACCCGAGGUGCAUUACCGGCGUAGUGCAGGCCACCAUGAGAAACAAAUUUUACGCCUUCGAGGUAAGUCGUUUUUAUUAUUAUUAUUGAGGCUUGUACUAAAUACUAAAUUAAAAAGCUAGUCCAAACAGGAGAACAUAUGAAGAGCACAAUGAAAAGAAAUCAUUAAAGAUGAAUAAACAAAAUAACCGGAUAGCGUAUGGACACAGGCAUACUUCUGAACGCCGUUUUACCAUAAAAAUAUUAAGGCGCAUUCACACUUUUGCGACCUCUUAAAACUGGGUUUCUUGAAACCUCUCACGAGAGGACACAUUCGCGCCAUCUAUUGGGUAGCAGUGUAAACUUGACAGUCCGGCAUAUUUUCUAUUUGUCGCGCAUUAUCCUUUCUUUCUUGGCUCGAAAAGUUUUGUCAACGUUAUAAACAAGCCUUUCUGAUAGACCGACACGCUGUUUACAAACAAGCCCGCAUUUGCCCACACCAGGUGUGGGCACUGCGCGUGCGCAGAAACUGAAUUCGCGUGACUUGAAGCGUCUGCGCACGCGCAGUGCCGUCCACAGCGCCACCGCAGCUGCGGACGGCACCGCAGGUAUUACGCACAUUUGACCUCGGAAAUACCGCAAAACCUUCGCUCUUGUUAAAUGCAGUUCCAGGGCCACUGCAUAGAUGGCGCCAGCGUGUUCUCUCGUCCCAAGAAAUUUUGAGAGGCUUUAACAAGUCUCGUCUUUCUCAGUCGUACUCGGUUGCAAGAGUGAACGGGCCUUAAGCGCCAUUCACAGUCUUGUGGCCGAGUAAGACUAGACCGGCUUUUGAGCCUCUUGCGAUCUCUUAGGAUCGGAUGCGCUACAGCGGAGCUGGUCCCAAGAGAUCGCAAGAGGCUUAAAAACCGGUCUGGUCUCUCUUGGGGCCGCAAGAGUGUGAACGGGCCUUUAAGACUACCAAAAGUUUGAUCUGGAUUUUACUCUCACUACUACUUGCAUGCAACUACUUUAUCAAUAUUAUAGUAAUAAGAUAUAAAUAUACCGCCAGAUUUUCAAACAAUAUGACCGAACAGAAUAUGGGUUUUACGUGCUCUUGGUUGUGUUUGGCCCUUUUUUUACAUCAAGGCAACUAACCGCCAGUGCUACAUGUACUCACCUUGUUUUUUUAUCCAGUUCUCUCACGCUUUGGGGUCUUGCGGGAAUCUGAAGAAAUUGCAAGAACCUCUCUUCACGCGAUUGUUACAACCAGGUAUGAAGCACUCUCACAUAGGGCGAGUCCGCAAAAAAAAUUUGGGAUCUCAACCGAUCGCCUGAAGUGCUUUUCUCACAGGUGCAAUGCAACCUUUUAGCAGACAAUCACCUCGAUCGACGACUGGACUUUCAAUGAACUAUAUUUUGCAUUGCACCCCACUAUGAAUUCUUAUAAGUGUCUGAAGGUCAUUAUAUUUCAAACAAAUACAA